Molecule: ribosomal RNA, 497 nt
Filed under: uncultured bacterium
Lineage: Bacteria
Description: partial 16S ribosomal RNA
Rfam family: Bacterial small subunit ribosomal RNA
Source: RNAcentral
GAUGAACGCUGGCGGCGUGCCUAAUACAUGCAAGUCGAGCGAACGGACGAGAAGCUUGCUUCUCUGAUGUUAGCGGCGGACGGGUGAGUAGCACGUGGAUAACCUACCUAUAAGACUGGGAUAACUUCGGGAAACCGGAGCUAAUACCGGAUGAUAUUUUGAACCGCAUGGUUCAAAAGUGAAAGACGGUCUUGCUGUCACUUAUAGAUGGAUCCGCGCUGCAUUAGCUAGUUGGUAAGGUAAUGGCUUACCAAGGCAACGAUGCAUAGCCGACCUGAGAGGGUGAUCGGCCACACUGGAACUGAGACACGGUCCAGACUCCUACGGGAGGCAGCAGUAGGGAAUCUUCCGCAAUGGGCGUAAGCCUGACGGAGCAACGCCGCGUGAGUGAUGAAGGUCUUCGGAUCGUAAAACUCUGUUAUUAGGGAAGAACAUAUGUGUAAGUAACUGUGCACAUCUUGACGGUACCUAAUCAGAAAGCCACGGCUAACUACGUG